RNAcentral lists this ribosomal RNA (466 nucleotides) under uncultured bacterium. RNAcentral describes it as "partial 16S ribosomal RNA". It matches the Rfam family "Bacterial small subunit ribosomal RNA", at positions 28 to 507 of the family's 1533-position model. The record is from RNAcentral.
GACGAACGCUGGCGGCGUGCUUAACACAUGCAAGUCGAACGGAAAGGCCCUGCAUUUGUGGUGUGCUCGAGUGGCGAACGGGCGAGUAACACGUGAGUAACCUGCCCUUGACUUUGGGAUAACUUCAGGAAACUGGGGCUAAUACCGGAUAGGUGCUCCUGCUUCAUGGUGGGGGUUGGAAAGUUUCGGCGGUUGGGGAUGAACUCGGGGCUUAUUAGAUUGUUGGUGGGGUAGUGGCUUACCAAGGCUUCGAUAGGUAGCCGGCCUGGGAGGGUGACCGGAGCGAGUGGGAAUGAGACACGGCCCAGACUGCUACGGGAGGGAGCAGUGGGGAAUAGUGCGAAAUGGGGGAAACCCUGACGCAGCAACGCCGCGUGAGUGAAGAAGGCCGUCGGGGUGUAAAGAUCUUUAAUAAGGGACGAAACCAAUGACGGUACCUGAAGAAUAAGCUCCGGCUAACUACGUG